GCACGAGCGCACCCCUUUCCUUAGUUGCCAGCACAUAAUGGUGGGGACUCUAAGGAUACUGCCCGGGAUAACCGGGAGGAAGGUGGGGAUGAUGUCAAGUCAGUAUGUCCCGUAUGUCCAGGGCUACACACGUGUUACAAUGGCCGGUACAAUGGGUUGCCAAACCGCGAGGUGGAGCCAAUCCCAAAAAACCGGUCUCAGUUCAGAUUGGAGUCUGCAACUCGACUCCAUGAAGCAGGAAUCGCUAGUAAUCGCGCAUCAGCACGGCGCGGUGAAUACGUUCCCGGGUCUUGUACACACCGCCCGUCACGCCAUGGAAGUCGGCAAUACCCGAAGCCGGUGACCUAACCCGCCUUUUGGCGGGAAGGAACCGUCGAAGGUAAGGCUGGUAACUGGGGCGAAGUCGUAACAAGGUAGCCGUACCGGAAGGUGCGGCUGGAUCACCUCCUUU
This 451-nucleotide ribosomal RNA is filed under the name uncultured delta proteobacterium. RNAcentral's name for it is "bacterial SSU rRNA". It matches the Rfam family "Bacterial small subunit ribosomal RNA", at positions 1090 to 1533 of the family's 1533-position model. Lineage: Bacteria; Deltaproteobacteria. The record is from RNAcentral.